CCUACGGGGGGCAGCAGUAAGGAAUAUUGGUCAAUGGACGCAAGUCUGAACCAGCCAUGCCGCGUGGAGGAUGAAGGUCCUCUGGAUUGUAAACUUCGUUUAUUUGGGAAGAAACUCCCGAUUUCCAUCGGGAUUGACGGUACCAGAUGAAUAAGCACCGGCUGACUCCGUGCCAGCAGCCGCGGUAAUACGGAGGGUGCAGGCGUUAUCGGGAUUCACUGGGGUGAAGGGGUGCGUAGAAGUCAAGGGAGAAAUCUCCGGGCUUAACCCGGGAACGGCCAUUGAUACUAUUUGUCUUGAAUACUCGGGAGGUGAGCGGAAUAUGUCAUGUAGCGGUGAAAUGCUUAGAUAUGACAUAGAACACCCAUUGCGAAGGCAGCUCACUACGGAAAUAUUGACGCUGAGGCACGAAAGCGUGGGGAGCAAACAGGAUUAGAUACCCUGGUAGUC
This 450-nucleotide ribosomal RNA is filed under the name uncultured bacterium. Its description in RNAcentral is "partial 16S ribosomal RNA". It matches the Rfam family "Bacterial small subunit ribosomal RNA", at positions 338 to 795 of the family's 1533-position model. The record is from RNAcentral.